GCCUGACAACGGCGUGGAAACGGCUACGGAACAAUUUGUUUCGAUGGAUAACGGUCGACCUCUGACAUUUCAAUUGGGACCUAAACACACAAAUUGCCUCGUCGAGUAUGCUUUAAAUUAGUAGUGAAAGAAUAGCUUCGGAUGCCGCAGCAUGCGCCGCAAGAAGCGACCUGACAAAUGGCGUCGAAUUAGGAAGCUGUAUCCCGACGUCAAGGAGGGAGGUCGAACGGGUCAAACGUAUGCGAUAUCUGGUGGAGCCCAGGCCGCCCUCUCGGCCGUCGUCGAGAGCAUGCUGGAGGAGUGUAUGCAGGACGCGAGGAACUUAGCCACGGAGGCUGGUAAGAGCUGCGUCACCCCCGAAGAAAUGGAGAAGGCGUUGAGGAAGCUCUGCCUGCGUUUAAACGCGCAGCCGAGCACGCCGAGCAAACAGAAAGUUAACACGCAGAGCGAAGACGUCUGAACCGAGAGUUUGGCGAAAUCUUCCCGUGGAGAUGUCUUCACGGCGCCAAACAAUUCAAAUGUCGGGAGAAAGAGAGGGAGAAAGAGGGAGAGACUUCAGCGACAUGUGUCAUCAAAGGCUGAGCAUUCUUUUCAUUAUAUACACAACCGAAACCAACAGAAAUCCGAUCUGACGAGUGUACAACACGGACGUUAUUGCGGCGGUGAGCCAAAGCAAAGCACGACUCUCAGACGGCACACUUGACUGGCAUGUCAUCAAAGUUUUCCGUGUGUAGCCUGACUCUAAUAAAAGUCAUCCGAAAGAACGUUCUCAAUCCGCCCCGCGCUCCGGAAACCGUUCUUUGAAAUUAUGUCUCACUAAUGACGUUGCGCGCGACCUCUCCGGACGACGGUAUUCUUAGAUUGAAGCCUCGGCUGUGGAUUCAGCCUCAAGAUGCCGUUUUGUUCACGUCAUUCCGACGGCGCCGCGGCCAAGGGAGCGCUGGUCCCUUUCCGACGUGUCUCGCGCAAAGGAAAAAAAAAAACCAGCGGCGCCCGCGGAAUAUCUCCGUCCGACAGACGCGCGAGGCUCAAUAUUUUACGGGCGGAUCCACGUGAAAUAAUUGGGACGCGUUAACAAUGGACUCGGUCCUUCCUACUUUUUUUUUUUGUUCGUUUGUCUUGUUUUCGUUUCCUCCCCGCCCGUGUUUUUUUCCCUUCCCUCCUUUUUUUUCCAUUUCGACGCGUCGCGAUCGAAAAGUUAAUAGAUACGUGAAAUGGCGCGCGAUAUUCGUUACCGUGCCGCGCCGAUUUUAUUUGUAACUCGAAAAUUCGCUGUUUCAUAAAACGAGAUUCGCCAGAUAUGUACGUACCUGAAGCCGCGCGCGCUCCGGCCGGAAAAUAUUUUUUUCCGUGACAGCUCCGCGGGAACGACAAAAAAAAAGAGAGAGGGAGAAGAGAGAGAAAAACGAUGGAUGGGACGGGGCGGCUCCGGUGAUAAUCAAUCGAAAAAUGAUUUCGAAUGGCGUAACGGACCGGUCGCCGCGUCAUAAAUCUCGAAACCUAGCGAUUAAGCAGAUAUGUCCACCUGCCAAAGCGAAUAUUCACGAUUUUUGAUAUACGGGGACGAAUCUGGAAUACAAUUACGUGCAGCGUGUGUCGAAGCGUGCAACUUGGAAACUCUUUCUGAUCCGAUCCGUUGUCUAAGCAUCGCCGAACAAUGUCGCGAUGCAGUCGGCAAACUGAAUAUUCCAAUGCGAUAAAAAUUUAUUUAAAUAAAUGUGCAAAUUAAUAGACGAUUCUUUAUCUCUCUCCGGCGCGGGCGCUGCAAUAUCUCAUGCAGUAUCUUCGCUGCGAUUGCAACUUUUCGUAAUUCCAUGCAUUCAGAUGUUAUCGUUUCCCGGGGAUAAGAGAAUAAUUGUUAGCUUUCGCCGUAGCGUAUCUCUAUCGCCACACCGUGGCUUUUGUCAAUAUUUUAUAAAUCAUAAAUAUUUUGUACAUUAUUCAACGAUUACUUUUCGUUUGGAUUAUACAUACAUAGUGUACAUAUAUAGAAGAUAAUUUCUCGUCUGAAAUUGCUUCAUGGGAAAAUAACAUACAUGCGAAACGUUCAUCGAUGGAAAAUAAUUUCUCCUCCGCGCUAUAGAAAAAGGCGCAGAUUGGAAAGGCAUUUAAUAAACGAGUAGUUACGAA
This is an RNA transcript of Wasmannia auropunctata (little fire ant), 2130 nucleotides long. RefSeq lists it as uncharacterized. The transcript has 3 exons. The record is from RefSeq and is a predicted model, not a curated record. NCBI's taxonomy places the organism in Eukaryota, Metazoa, Arthropoda, Insecta, Hymenoptera, Formicidae.